UAAUGAAGUAAAAUAAGCAAGUGUUGGAAAAAUUGUUCCACUUUUAUCAAUUGUCUCCAUAAGCAUCACCUGUAAGAGAUUAUAACGCAGGAUGAUUUCUCUCUUGCUAUAUUUAAAUGGAUAGUUGAAGUUUUUUUUUUUUUUUUACUGUGGAAAGAAGCAUGUUUGCCCUGGUUGAAGACUUUGAGGGGCGAAGGUGCUUUCUGGGUAAUAUUUUUGUUGAAUGGGUAUUUCUUUUUCAUUGAAAAAAGAAAUAUUCCCGGAAUCAAACAGAAAAACGUGUUGAGCUGUUACCCUUUCUAAUCCCACUUUCCAUUUUCAAAUUUCCAUUUUCCAAAAUCUCGCCUCCUCCCUCGUAGUUUUCUUUUAAGACACCGUUUGUUCUGAUUUUUUGUUAAAAGGGGCCUCUUCUGUACUACUCAUCCAAACAAGUCACAGUUUUUUUUCUCUCUCUAAAACAUUCACCGUAUAAGCUUUCUCCGAAUGUCACAAUGGCCUAGCGACGCCUCGCUCUGCUUUCUUCCACCACGCGUCUGUCACCGUUAUAAUUUCUCACUCCCAUUUCGGUUCUUGACAAUGAGAUCAAACUCGUAGGAGUGUACAACUGCUACUCUUUUUCUCCUCCUUUAGAUUUAUCAUUAUUAGAAAAAAAAGAAAAAAAAAGGGGGAAAUAGAGAAAGGGGCAUUGUUAUAUUUAACAUAAUUUCUGGUUAUCGGUUGGUGAGAUCAGAUAAGAAAAUGGCACCACCGUUGUUCAAUUGGGGGGUGAAGGACACCCACAGGGGAACCCCUGUGGUGGUGAAGAUGGAGAACCCAAAUUGGUCGAUGGUGGAACUGGAAGGUCCCGAAGAAGAUGACUUAAUGACACCAGCUUCUCCUACGGGUGUUUCACGAGACAAAGGAAAAGGAAGAGGCAAAAAUGCGAAACAACUCACAUGGGUUCUUCUCCUCAAAGCACACCGCGCCGCCGGCUGCCUGACCUCCCUGGCGCCGGCAUUGUGGGGGCUCGUCUCCGCCGUUAAACGCCGCGUCGCCGCCGGAAAAACUGAUGCCGACACCGACGGCGGCAGAGAGCUGGAGAACCCCACCGUGAAGACGCGUUUCUAUUCCUGCAUCAAGGUCUUUCUGUGGCUUUCCGUGUUUCUCUUGUUUUUCGAGGUUGCUGCGUACUUCAAAGGGUGGCAUUUCGUUGCGGCGGGGAUUCAGUUGGAGCACUUUCUGUGGGCACCCGCUUUUGGAGUCAAGGAUUUCUUCGUUUGGCUCUACACGAGAUGGGUUUUUUUUCGCGUGGAGUAUCUCGCUCCUCCUCUGCAGUUUCUAACCAAUGCGUGCAUCGUGCUUUUCCUUAUUCAGAGUGUGGAUAGGCUUGUUCUGUGCUUGGGGUGUUUCUGGAUCCGGUUUAAGAAGAUCAAGCCUGUCCCCAAAAGUGGGGAUGCAAUUGUAGAUCUUGAAUCUGGAGAAAGCAAGGGUUUUUCUUUUUUCCCAAUGGUUCUUGUGCAGAUCCCCAUGUGCAAUGAGAAGGAGGUUUAUCAGCAAUCGAUUGGUGCGGUGUGUAAUUUGGAUUGGCCGAAGGGGAAGUUGUUGAUUCAGGUUUUGGAUGAUUCCGAUGACCCAACGACGCAGUUGCUAAUAAAGGAGGAGGUUCAGAAGUGGCAACAAGAGGGUGCCAACAUUUUGUACCGGCAUCGCGUGAUUAGAGAUGGGUACAAGGCCGGGAAUUUGAAAUCCGCUAUGAAUUGUAGCUACAUUAACGACUAUGAGUUUGUUGCAAUCUUUGAUGCAGAUUUUCAGCCUACUCCAGAUUUUCUGAAAAAAACAGUUAUUCACUUUAAGGAUAAUGAUGAAUUGGGGCUUGUUCAAGCAAGAUGGUCCUUUGUGAACAAGGAUGAGAACCUCCUAACGAGGUUGCAGAACAUUAACCUGUCUUUUCAUUUUGAAGUAGAGCAGCAAGUGAAUGGGGUUUUCAUUAACUUCUUUGGGUUCAAUGGAACUGCUGGAGUUUGGAGGAUAAAGGCUUUGGAGGAAUCUGGUGGUUGGUUGGAGAGAACUACUGUUGAGGACAUGGACAUUGCCGUUCGAGCUCAUCUUCAUGGCUGGAAAUUCAUUUUCCUCAAUGAUGUUGAGUGCCAAUGUGAGCUACCGGAAUCUUACGAAGCUUACAGGAAACAGCAGCACAGAUGGCAUUCUGGGCCAAUGCAGUUGUUCCGCCUUUGUUUGCCUGAUAUCAUUCGGUCCAGGAUAAGUGUGUGGAAGAAAUUCAACAUGAUAUUUCUCUUCUUCCUUCUCAGAAAGCUGAUCUUACCAUUCUAUUCGUUCACCUUGUUUUGUAUAAUUCUACCUAUGACAAUGUUCGUGCCGGAGGCUGAGCUUCCUGCGUGGGUAGUGUGUUACAUCCCUGCUGCCAUGUCCUUUCUCAACAUUCUUCCGGCUCCGAAGGCCUUUCCCUUCAUUGUCCCUUAUCUCCUAUUUGAGAACACCAUGUCAGUUACCAAGUUCAAUGCCAUGAUCUCAGGCCUGUUCCAGCUAGGUAGUGCAUACGAGUGGGUGGUCACUAAGAAAUCUGGUCGUUCUUCUGAAGGUGAUUUGGCUUCAUUGAUUGAGAAAGGACCAAAGCUUCAAAGAGGGUCCUCGGCACCUGAUCUUGAGGAAAUAAAAGAGGAACUUAAAAGGCAGGAGGAGAAGACCUCUAAGAAGAAGAAAAAGCAUAACAGAAUAUAUAUGAAGGAGCUUGCUUUGGCCUUUCUACUCCUAACAGCCUCAGCAAGGAGUCUCCUCUCAGCUCAAGGGAUCCAUUUCUACUUUUUGUUAUUCCAGGGAAUAUCAUUCCUCUUGGUUGGUCUUGACUUGAUUGGUGAACAGGUGGACUGAAAAAAAAACGAAAAAAUUGACACGACUGUGUACUUUUUUACAUGCACGAAUUAUAUGGACGGAAAAGCAAAAAGGUGGGAAAGAAGCCAAGGCCUUAUGAAAUUACUGAAGGCAUGUAUUUGGGGGCAACCGGAGAGUGUAGAGGACCCAUAGUGCUGCUUUUUCUUGCUCAUGCUCCUCCCUCCGGGCUCGUAAAUCAAAUCCACCCAAUACGAUAUAAUUGUGUUAUAUUAUGGACCGAAAAGGGUUUAAUUUGGAAAUGGGUGCUGCUGUUGAGGCCAAUUCAAUGUAGAGCAAGUGGGUUUUGAUUUCUGGGGCCCUUGGAAUGUGAUGCUCGUAGCAAUUGAAGGUGGUCCUCCUCCCUCGCUUUAAAAUUUGCCUAUAGUUUGUUAUUCUCACCGCUUUUGAACAUUGAGCUGGAAAAAUUACUAGAUGUGCACCACACUGCUUUGGUGAAGAGUCUGUCUGUCCCAUUCUGUGUUUGGUGAGCGCUGCUGCCCACUGCUCUGUCCUAAAUUGAAGAUUCCAACUUUUAUUACAACUGUGCCGCUACAAAGGGAUAAUGCCCUUUUCGGCCCGAAACACUGUUCGAUAAAUGCAAUCCGAAAUAAAACCCGAACAUGUACUUAGAAAAACAGGUAGCUUAGUACAGCGGCACGUGGAUGCUUCGUUCGGUUCAUUAUAAUGGUUAGGUUCUUCUCCAAUAUGGCUCCGCUAUUCAAGCUUCUUCAAGAAUUUGGCUCAAUAGAAUUCGCUUC
Molecule: RNA transcript, 3626 nt
Organism: Vigna angularis (adzuki bean)
Lineage: Eukaryota; Viridiplantae; Streptophyta; Magnoliopsida; Fabales; Fabaceae
Gene name: probable xyloglucan glycosyltransferase 12
Exons: 6
Source: RefSeq, a predicted model, not a curated record